RNAcentral lists this long non-coding RNA (38449 nucleotides) under Vitis vinifera (wine grape). RNAcentral's name for it is "long non-coding RNA (VVIN_LNC000077)". The record is from RNAcentral. Lineage: Eukaryota; Viridiplantae; Streptophyta; Magnoliopsida; Vitales; Vitaceae.
UGCAGUUAAUAUCACCAAAGAUAUCGAAAGUCACCUUCUCAAUGCAUAACGCCAAGACCAUAUGUACCGUUUGCUAGUAUUUCUCUCUUAAAUAAAGUUUGGAACUUGGAUGUGCAUCUAUGUACUAUCUCGACCUUUUAAUAAACGCAAAUUCCAGCUGUACUGGAGUUGGUGACUAAUGCCGAGAAGACAAACUAGGUUCCCGAUCCUCAGUUAUUUAUGCAAUAAUAUUAAUUAGUGCAUGCGUGUGAUUAGUUGUAUGGUUCUGGGAGUUGCUUUGUGAUUGUUAAUCGGUGUCUUUUGUAGUGGGAUUAUUACAUGCAUGUAAUGUGAAGAACAUAUGAUCCAUGAGGAAAUAAAUUAAAUGAAAAUUACCCAGGCUCCAUCAUGAGGAGCCUUUGAGCAUGCCCACAAGCCUACGUUCCUGCAUUCAAGUCACAUAUGUGAAAAUUCCACUUUGCACAUAAUCUAAAUAAUUUAUCUAAAAAUCUAAGAAGUAAUCUCUCUCUCCAUCUAUGUCUCUCUCUCCCCAUCUAUAUGUACCUCAAAUGAAGAGGUAAGGUAAUGUAAAAUCCCCACCUCAAAUUUAGGGAUAUUUAUAUAAUUUGAAAAUUUUAAAAAGACCUACAUUAAUUUUGUAAAUAUUUAUGUAAUCAACUUUCUCAGAUUAAUUAAAUAAAAAAUUGACCAAGAUGAUUAAAAAUGCAAAUUUGAUGAGGACAUGAAGUAAAAAGUGGUAGGGUUUAAGGACAAUGGCUUCUACUGAAUUUUGGUGAGGUGGUGAUACAAUGAGGAAAAUAGAUUAAUAAAGUUUAUCCAUGGAAAUAGAAAAUAGAAAACAAAAAAUAUAAAAUAAUAAUAAUAUUCAUGUUAAUCAUUUAAUAAAUAUAAUAAAUGCAAUUAUAUAUGCUAAGUGAAAAUAACAAUAUUAUUAUUAUUAUUAUUAAUGCUUAUGAUAGGUGAGAAUUAAGUCUUUUAGAAAUUUGAGUAAUUUUUUCAAGGUAAAGCUUAUAGUUCAUUAAGUCAUUUUAUAAUUCCUUAUAUAUUUUUUUAUUGAUUUUUAAAGUAUCAAAAUGUGUAAAUUCUUUAAAGUGGAUCAAAUAGUUUUUUUUUUUUUUGAAAUAUUUUGUGAUUUGUUUGGUUGUUAUGAAAGUGAAUUUUAUUACUUAAUUUAUUAUAAUGAUUUUAAAACUCUAGUUAUUAGUGGUUUUAGUCAACAAGGAUAAGUUAUUAACCUUCUUUACCUUUGGUCAGUGAAGGGAUGUAGUAUAACACUAGCCAAUAAAUGUGUCAUUGGUCUUGUAUACUAUUGAUUAGAAAUUGUUAUGUCCACCAAUGAGAGUAUUAAAGUGAGGUGAGCCACCUAAUGUAAGUCCCAAUAUUUGGGCACAACGUUAUUAUUAAUUAAUAAACAAAAAUAAAUAGUUUAUUUAUAAAAAUUUUUUUCUAAAUAUAAAUUGAGUAUGCAAAUUGUAUUUUUUAAUUCUAUCUUUAAAUUUAAAGUGUUUAAUCUUUUGAAGAAAGUGAAUUUAAUUUUUUGAAGAAAGUGAAUUUAAUUUUUGAAUUAAAUAAAUUAACCUGAUAAUUGAUUUUUAUAAAAAUUUGAUAUCUCUUAGAAUUUAAUUCUCUACAAUAUAUACCUGAUUUUUUUCAUUGAACUAUUUUUUCUUAUUGAACCAUUGAAGUCACCCUUCUUUAUUAUUCCCCUUUUCAUAUACAAAUGGUAUAAGUGAGAAGGGAUUACGGGAGGAGAAAUGUUUCUAUUAUAAACAACUUUGGAAUUGAAUUAUGUUGGAUUGUGAAACGUGAAUCGGUUUAAUUUAUUGUAUUUUGCAAGGAAUGCUAGAGGUCGAGUGUCUAAUUGAGCUUGCGGGGAUCAAGAGUCUUGAUCGGUUCGUUGGGACUUGGGAUUGAGUUGUCCAAUCAGCUCAUGGGGUUAAAGGAAUAUCCUUCGAUUUUUUUUAAUACGAUGAAUAACGAGUUUGUCCUAAUUGUAUAUUUAAUCUUAUUAUAAUUUAAAGUUUCUUUUUAGAGAGUGUGUGACUGCAAUCGAAAGGAUAAUGAGUGUUUAGUACUCGUCUUAUUUUUUUCUGAACCAAAUUAAAAAUCUAUUGUUUUUCUUUAUUUUCUAAUCGUGUGUGCAUGAUUUGAUCAACAAAUUAUUUAUAGGAUUGUUUACUUAAAUUUGAUUGUAAUUUAUUUAAGUUUUUAGGAGAAUCAUUAAAUUUAUUAUUACAAUAUUUUAUUAGUUUUGAAUUUGUUAUUUAAAGUGAUUCAUUUACUUGGUUCAAAGGUUUGACAUAUAAAGUCACCGUGGUUCCCUUGGUGUCGCGGGUGAUUUUGUAAGUGCCUUCGGACUACAGAAUAUUAAUUAACCUACCAAUCUUCAAUGUAAUCUAAGAUGCAGAAAGAUCUUGUGGGUUAAGGUCAAGUGGGCGCUUCAAUAUUUAUCAUGUCUUCAAAAAAAACUUCAGGGCCCCAGUCCAGAUUCUCAGAUAUGGAUUCUAACAGUUGCUACCAAUCACGGGGGUGAAAACAAAUCAGUGUCGCAGAAAUCGCUAUCAAUGUGGUACUGGAAAAAAAAGAAGAGAUUCCUCCACUUGUUCUUGAAAUUUAUCUGAACGCAUGCAAUAAAUCAAUGCUCCAUAAUCUCCUGCACAUGCAAAUUAAAAUCAAAAUCAGGCCAUUGGCCUCUCACAUUACCAUUCUUGGCCGUUUUCUGGUGUGCAUAUAAAGAGUAAUAACCACACCAUCCAUCUUUUACUCUGGUUGUCACACUCCCACCACUCUCCCACCACUUCUUCCCUAAUCUCCUAACAUCAAAUACAAAAAUGCCACAUCCUUAUUAUUGAAAAUUAAAUUCCCAUACAUAUAAAUCUUAUGCCAGAUUUUUUGUUGAUUGGAUGAUAUUCGGCCAUAUAAAAUUCAGUAUCAAUCACAAACAUUCGUUAUCCAAUCUUGAUACCGAAGAGGAUAGAGUAUCAAUCCAUCUAUGGGCCCGGUGCACCAGGCCUUCCGCCUAUAAAAGUUUUCUAGGGUGGUGAACUAUAUUCUUCAAACACAGCCUUGGCUAGUUACUAUCUGGUUUCCAAAGAAAGAAGAAAUGGCUCAGAUAGAUAAGAUGGAAACCCAUGUAGAGAAAAAGUCCCCUGCCAAUGAGUUCUACGAGGUCUUCAGCAGCAAAGCUCAUCUCAUUCCCAAGGCCUGCCCUGACAAAAUCAAGAGCAUCGAAGUGGUUGAAGGUGAUUGGAAGAGUGUGGGCUCUGUCAAGCUCUGGACUUACUGUAUCGGUAAGGCAACGCUAACCAUUAUUCCCAUGCCACCCUCAAUCAAACAAAAUAAUACACUCAGCACAUGGACCUUCUUGUUUUUAAUUAUUAUUGCUGUGGAAGAUAAUAAUAACAAAACAAAGGGAAUGACCCCUUCUGAUACGGGUGCCUCCUCAUAUUAGUUUUUUGAAGUUCUCCAUGCAAACUAAAGUAGAAAUCAAUCUUUAGGCACAUCCCUUAUCUGAGCUUCACAUGACCUUAGUUUCAUUUUAAAUUAACCUGCAGGAGGAAAUACUUCGUCUAGCAAGGAGAGGGUGGAAAAGAAAGACGAUAAGAACAAGUCCAUCACUUUCAAGGCUCUGGAUGGAGAGGUCAUGAAGGAUUUCAAGAGCGUCAUCUCCAUCCUUGAAGUGAGUGCAAAGGAUGACGGCAGCCUGGUGAAAUGGACUUUGGAAUAUGAGAAGUCAAAUGAGAAACUCCUACCUCCAGAUGCUUACCUCAGCCUUGUAAUUAGUAUGAGUAAAGAAAUCGACGCUUACCUUCUCAAGGCAUAAGCCGCAUAACAAGCCCUAUAUCCUUGACUUGAUAUGAAAGCAUCCUAGCCUGGGUCCUCCUGGGAAUAACGGAGUUGCUAUGCGUACCUCCAUAUUAUAUUAUCGACACCUACUGGCUACUGCUGUACUCCAUGUAACUUCUUGCUGUACUUAAUUAUAUGAGCUUCCUGAAUUAAUGUUGGAAUGAUAAAUCAAGCUUUAUGGUAGAAUCAAAUGAUUGCUCUAUCAUGGAAUAAAUUUCGCAAUAAAAAUAAAUAUUAGAGGAGAGUUAUGAAACGAAGCUUUUUUUUCUGCAUCAAAUUAACUUUUCAUACACUGUUUUUAAAACAAAUCAACAUACAAUGAUCUUAUGUUGUACCUUUUCCGUUGCAGAUUGCUUUUAAAAAUGUUCUCCCCACAGGCACUUCUAUGGUAUCUUUUCAAAAUUGCUAUUAUAUAUGUUUAAUUAACCAUUCAUUUUGGUCUAAAGCUAGGACGAACUUCUAAGACUGCCACGGAGACUCUGGAAAUCAACAGAUGAAGAAAAAAAUAAAAUAUAUCCAUGACUUCCAAGGUUUUGGAAGCAGAGGUCAUGAAUCAUUUCAAGAAGAUUCAAGUCAUCCAUGCAAGUAACAGCAAAGGAUAAGCGCAGCUAGGUGAAAUGGAGACUGGAUAUUGAGGGUCACUAUCUCAGAUUCUCAAGGCAUAGCAUUAAAAACAUAUCCUUUAAUUGGUAGUAUAAUCUCAAACUUGUAUGUAAAGACCAGACCGUGGAAGUGCAUAUAUGCAUUUUAUUCUUCAAUAAGCGCAGGCUUAGGGGGUAGUUCAAUAACCUCUGGGCUUAGUCAAUCCCGAGAAGAUAUUAAUAAAUUUCCCUGGAUUAUUCCUCUCAUGAAUAUCAGUGCCUGUAAUUUGGUUGUGUGCUAACGGGAGUUGCCUCUUGCGAUCGGUUGGGUUCUUUAAUAAACGCAUUAUUAGGUAUGAAUGAUCAGGAAAUUGAUAAGUAAAAAACAAUUUAAUUAUUUCACUUAAGUCAUAAACCAUUAUGAGGAGCCUUGGAAUAUAUGCAUGAGUCUAGAUUCUCGCAGCCACUAAUCACGUAGUCAAAAUUGGCCAGUCGCAAACAUUCCAAUCAUUCUUUAUGAUAAGAAAGAAGAGUUCACUCUUCUUUUUCUCGAGUUUUUUAUUUGGAGAGAGCAAUUUAUCAGCCUCACAUUUUGAGACCUUUCUUGGCACAUCACUUUCAGAAUCUGAUUUCCUAGCUCCACUAUAGAAGUAAAGCCAGUUGGGUAUCACAUUCUUGUUUUAUGUCUCCUUGAGUGGGUCGGGUGUAUAUAAAAAUUUGCCAGUUGAAGAUUUUCUUUGUUAUGCUAGUCUUUCUUUUUCUAACCUCCUGAUAUCAAAUGGGAAAAUGCCAUAUCGUUACUGGACAAUUGACCCAUAAUGGAGAGACUUUUGUUGGUUGGACUUGGGCUUUUAUAUAACUCAGCAACUAUCAUAAUUAUAGGAGAAAUUUGAAGUAACCAUAUUGAUUUGGGUCUACCAAGAAGCAAGGUGAAUCGUAACAUAUCAUGCAUAUAACUUGAUUCAAUUAUUUUAUAUUCUACUUGUUUCUUAUGUAUUUUUACUUUUAUCAAAUAGUUUAGAUAUCAUUACCAAAUAUUCUCCUGACAUUUUCCUAUUAUUUCUGUAAGAUGCUAUAAUCUACACCCAAAGUAGUGGACCACUUACACUUUAUUAUGUACUAACCACGAUCAUAACUUACAUUCUCCACCUUGGCCUCUCUCUUAUCCCAAAAAGUAAAGACUCAGGGUUCGUAUCCCUUCCCUUCUGUCUAUAUAGGUCUAAGAGUAGUCAAGUGUUUCCUUCAAUAGCCUUCAUAUUCUUGGCAGUAACUAGGUACUUGGUUUUCAAACACAACAAAAAUAAUGGCUCAAAUUGCCAAGAUGGAGGUCCAAGCAGAGAUCAAGUCCCCUGCCAGUAAGUUCCACGAGGUCUGUAGCCGUAAAGUUUAUCUCGUACCCAAGGCUUGCCCUGAAAAAAUUAAGAGCAUUGAAGUAGUUGAAGGUGACUGGAAGACUGUGGGCUCUGUCCAGCUUUGGACUUAUUUCAUCGGUAAGGCAAAAUCCAUCAUUCCACGCCUCCCCCAACAAACACAAGGACACAGAGCUCAAUUGUACUUCUAUUAUUAUUACUAUUAUUAGGAAAUAAUGAUAAUCUAAUGGUAAUGUGACUCUACUCAUGCCGAUAUAAACCCCGUAAUCUUGAUCUCAAAUUGCUAUCAAACAAAAGAAUAUCAAAUAAAGGUAAAGUGUGUCCCCUAUAUUUAUACGUAGAUAGAUGAGUUCUAAGCUUAGCACCAUGUUUUCCAUUUGAAAAACAGGAGGAAAUACCGAAGAGGCUAAGUUGGUGGUUGAAAGGGUAGACGAGGAAAACAAAACGGUCACUAUGAACGUUGUGGAAGGAGAUAUCGUGAAGUAUUUCAAGAUCUUCAAGUGCACUAUUCAAGUAACCGUAAAGGAUAAGGGCAGCUUGGUGACAUGGAGUGUGGAAUAUGAGAAGCUAAAUGAGAGUGGCCCCGCUCCAGAUGCUUACCUCAACUUUGCAAUGGGUAUCGUUGAGAACGUGGAUGCUUACCUUCUCAAGGCAUGACAACAAAGGCGUAUUCAUGAGUCAUGACAUGGUAUGAAGCACUGGUACAACAAAAACUUGGGAAUAAUGUACCACACGCCAUGUCCUCAACUUCUACUGGUCAUCGCUAUAAUAUUAAAAGUAACUUCUUAUUCUACUUAUAUACCUUCCAAGUACUUUGUGUCUUGAAUGUUAUUAUCUAAAAAUAAAAAUAGAAAAUCUCGAAGAAGAGCAUUGUCCUUCGACACUUUUCUUUCUUUCUUUCUUUCUUCACUGCUGAGAAUCUCAACGUACGACUACCAUUUGCAUUAUGGACCCAUGACUGCCAUCCUUUGACCACAUUUGUUGCCCUCCCACCAAACUCCUACGCGUCAAAAUUUCUAUUGUUGCUUGAACAAUAUUUUCAUUUGAAAAACAAGGAAACGAUUUAAAAAUUCUUAUCUCAUGUCUAGUUACCCCGGUCGACCAUAUAAAGUACCACUUGAUCACUCUAGUCUCCUUUGCUAGCCCAUGGGCAAUGCAAUACCCAGCAGGUCCCAGUAACCAACUCUAUGUUCCUCCGAAAAUGAAACAAAUCAGGUCGUUUCAGGGAUGCAUUUGAUCUCACCCUUUUGUUUUGUGUCCGUUAUUUUUUAUUUUAAUAUCACAUGUUUAUAUUUUAAUCUCAUUCUUUACACCUGGAUUUGCUGAUAAAGGCAACUUUCUUUUUGAGCUUUGAUCGAGAUUUUUAUGAAAUUCCUGUGAUAUUACCGUCCUGCUCCUGCUUAAGAAUGUAACUUUGAUUUUGCUUUUAGUGAAGUCUUUAGGUGUUGUUUAUUCCCCAAAAUCUUUUGAUGUUUCUGAAAUUGCUUCAGUGGACUUUGAGAGGUUGCAGGUACCUCUUUUCUCCUGAAAUAGAAUUUGUUUCAGUGGAGCAAGACAACAGGAUGAGCAAAAAAUAGAACCAAUUUUAUUGAUAUAUAUCAGGUUUUUGAGACGUUGAAGAACAUUUCUAACAACUUUUUUUGAUGGGUGACCAAGCCUAUUAUGCCACAAUGCAUAUACAGAACAAGAAGAAAAAGAAGCAGGUGUUGGAACUACAGAAGAAUUGUAUACUAAGGGUUGUGUUGACAUACUGACAUAUGACUUAUGAGGAGUUGAGGGAGAGAAGCUGCCACUGAUUAUUAAUGAGAUCAAUUUGAGACUGAUAAAAAACAUAAAGACCAUCUUUAGGCCUACCCCUCCAGUAGCACUGUUUUGAAGUGAAAUUCAAAGAAGACAUUCUUUUGGGCAAAUUUUGACACACUGAGAAGGUUCUAAUUAGCAAUUUCAGGGACAUGAAGUGUUUUAAAGAGUAAUUUCAGCAAACAUAACUUCAACUUUACAUCCACCUGACCUCAUUAUUUCAGUUUGACAAGAGGGCUUAAUUAUAUCAGUAUGACUGCUAAGAAGACUUUGGAAUAUUAUAAAACGAGUCCAUCAAGUUCAAGGUUUGGAAUGGAAAGAUCAUGAGUAAUUUCACUACUUUUAAGCUGAAUAUGAGAAGGUAAAUGAGGAUGUCCCAGACCCAAUGCUUACUAAAUCAUUGAAGGUCACCUUCUUGAGGCAUAAUUCCAAUUCUUUUCAUCGAUGCUUCUUAGAUGUUAUAAAACAAUACUAUGAAAAUGAAAACGUAAUGUAAUUUUGUCAAAGCCUUUUCCUUAUUGAAGACUCUGGACUGAUUGCGUGGGUGCGCAACACCCACCAUAAUUCCCACACCAACGCCCAACUAACCAAAUCACGUAAGGCCUCACAUGGCCUCAUUAUUAUUUCUGUUGAAAGAUAAUACUAUAUUACAUACGAGAUGGCCAUUCUACCAGCCACCUGUAAAGUUGGUGAUAAAUUGAUACUAAAAAUAGAAGGAAAAUUAAGUUGAAAUUAAGGGUGUCUAUUUAAAUUUAAUUAUUCCCUAGAUAUGAUCUUUUGAUAUGAUUUGAACCCGUUAAUCAUUUAUUUUUAUAUAAAGAGACAAAAAUUCAAUUGUAUAAUCCAGGAUGAGUCACUUGGCCGGGUUUUCGACGACAGCUAAAUCAACCUUCAUUUAGUAAUGAUUGCCCAUGAAAUAAAUUAUCAUGUCUCCUCACAAUAUAAUAAACUAAUAAAAAAUAAAAGAAGAUCACAAAGAAAAGCAUCUUAGUGGAAGUUUUUUUUUUUUUUUUUUUCUUUCAUUUGUUGGUGGUGACACUCCGUGAAAUGUGAUCAACUAGCAUUUGAAUUACACAACCUAAUGCAAAUGAUAAAAAGCAUAAAUUACUUUAGAGUGUUUAGAAUUUGGAAGACUCUAGCUAGGAUGAUAUGGCAUGGGUCUGUGGCCGACAACCACCAAACCCAACGCUAAAUAAUUAUUAUUGAACCAUCAUCAUCAGUAUAAGCAACAUCAAACCUCUCCAUGUUAAACUGUACAUUUUAUUUCAUCCGGAUCUAAUAUCUAAUUAUAAAUGAUUAUGUAUGAGAUUGCAAUCCUUUGCUUAACUCUUUGAAAAUCUAAUUAUAAAUAUUUGGAAUAUCGAUUUCAUCUCUACCAUUAAAAGCAUAUGAAAAAAAUAUCUUGGUCUUUGAAUAAAAGUAAGUAUAAAUAAUUAGACUAGGGUACCAAAUGAUGAAAUCAAAUAUAAAUGAAUUAUAACCAUCAAAUUUCUAUUUUUCAUUAUUAAAUCAUUGGGCGCUCCAAUUUUUACAUGAUGUAUAACUAUUGACGGAAAUGUUAAUUAGGGAUGGCAACGGGGCUGGUUUUUUCGGGUACCCGCCCCCCCCUCCCCCCCCCCCGCCCCUAAUGGGACGGGGUUGAAAUUUAAUAAACGGGUUUUUAACGGGUAUGAGAUUUUUUUUUAAAACCAGGGGCGGGUUCGGGACGGGUUCGGGACGAGUUCGGGUAUUGCCCCAUUCCGCCCCGCCCCGCCCUGUUUACAUAUAAAAUCAAUUUUAAAAUUAAUUUUAUUUUACUAUUUUUAAUAUAUAGAUAAUAAUAAAAAAAUUAAUAAAAUAAGUUAUAAAAAAUAUAAUAAUUUUAUUAUUUAUAAAUAUAUUUAUUUUAAUGUAAUUAAAAAUUUUAAAAGUAAAUUUUUUUUUUUAUAAAAAAAAGGAGGCUAAACGGGGCGGGACGGGGAUGAGAAUUAUUUUUAAUAAACGGGGCGGGGUUGGGAUGGGGGCAACCCGUCCCGAACCCGCCCUGUUGUCAUUCCUAAUGUUAAUAUAAGGAUAUAAUAAUGGGUAAAAUUAGUUGAAAGUGUUUUUUUUAUGACAUAAAAUAAUUUUUCAAAUUUUAAUUUCUAUUUACUUUGUCUUCCCUUGUCAUGUAUCUUUGUAAUUUUCCGAUUUGUUUAUCAAAACAAUAAAUGAUGUCAUGUUAUGAUUUCUCUUUUUGUCUUCCUUUUUAAUUGACGUGUUUAUUGGAAUAAUAUAUUAUGUUAGACAAAAUAACACAUACCUCCACUGCCCAAAUCCCCUCCGUGACAAUGAACCCCAUCUUUAAGCAUUAUUAUAAAAUUAAGCAUAAAGUUAUUACAAGUUUCUUCCAUUUCACAUGCCUUUCCCAUAGAUUGAGUGGUGGAGAUGAUCAUUCUUGAACGAUUUAUAAUUUUAAUGAAUUCUGUCUAUUCUCAUAUCUUUUAAGAGGGAAUUCAAAUCAACUUAUCUUAUUUUCUCAACGCUACUUAACUUCCACGGCUUCAAAUUUACAUGAUCAUAUCAUUAUCAAUAACUUCGGCAUAACUAUUCAAAUUUUAAUAAGAACUUCAAAUCAUUGUUACCUUUAUUGCCUUAAAAAUCUUUUUCUUUGUCAAUGAUCCCUGCACGAUUAUUAAAUAAUAGGAUUGUUAUUGUCAUAUUAACUAAUUUUGAUAAUAUAGUCAUCGUCACGGCUGAGUGCCGUUUUCUUGGGAGAUUUUUCAUAAAUUUAAAUCAAUACCAGUUAUAGGAAAUGCGUCACAAAUUAGGAAGAUAUCGAGCUGGAAGCAGAUGAUAUAUAAUUCAUUAUUUUCUUCCUUAUUGAAGCUUGACAAACCAAUCCAAAUGCAUUAACGUGAGAAGCAAGGUUUUAUGCUCAUUUUCAAUGAACCUUGUCAACAUGCACGUCAAAAACAAUGAUUUAUUAACUACGUACAUGUAGAACUGCAUGGGAAAAAAAAAAUACAAUUAAGGCAUUGGGAUAUGAAUAAAACGCUUAACUUAAAAUUCAAAAUUCUCAAAACUACGUUUUUCACACCAAAAUGUUUCAUCCAGCCAACCUAAGACCGAGUGAAUCCUCCCUCUAAAGCACAUUGCCCAAGACUACAGGCAACGUAGUAAUUACCUAAGCAAAUACGUCAGAAUCAUACCAAUUUUUACCAAAGUGGGUAUCGGGAAGGAGCUUUGCCUAAUUCAUCCUUCUAUAUAUAAGGACAAGGUUAUCUACUUCUUCUCAUCACUGCCUUCUGUUUGAAUAUUUUGUAGUUAGUUUUAUCAAUCCAGCUAGUGUUAUUAUCAGAAAAACAUGGCUCUAACUGGUAAGUUGGAGACUGAAACAGAGAUCAAAGCACCUGCUGAUAAGUUCUUUAAAAUCUUCAGGAGCCAAGCACACCACCUUCCUAAUAUCUGCUCCGAUAAAAUACACAAAAUCGAGGUACAUGAAGGUGACUGGGAGACUCAGGGCUCCGUCAAGCAUUGGAGUUUGACCGUUGGUAAGGCAUCUCAAACUAAGAACCACAAAACACUAGCGUUAUAUUCUGUUAAUUAAAAUAAGUUAUUAUGUUUUUGUUUCAUUUCAUUGUUGUUUUCUUCACCUUUCAAUUAUUCUAUUAGAAUAAAAGCAUGCCUCUUUGUACAAUUUUUUUCUUGCAAAGAAGUGAUCGAGUCUGGGCCGCUAGUGACUAUGAUGGUUCUUAGGAAUGUACAUGACAUCUAAUAAUAGCUUCAACAUAUUCCAAUUAUGUUUAACCUCACAUUUUGGUUUCAACUAGGAGAGAAUUCUGAGAGUAUUAAAGAGACUGUGGAUCAAAUAGAUGAAGAAAACAGGUCCAUCACAUUCAAGGUUUUGGAUGGGGAGGUGCUGAAAGACUACAAGAGCUACAAGUUCACCACACAAGCGAUACCAAAGGGGGAGGGCUGCUUGGUGAUAUGGACCAUCGAAUAUGAGAAGGCAAGUGAGGGUGGCCCAGAUCCCCAUAACUGCCUAGAGUUUUCAGUUAAUAUCACCAAAGAUAUCGAAAGUCACCUUCUCAAUGCGUAACACCAAGGCCAUAUCCACCCUUUGCUAGUAUCUUGCUCGUAAAUAAAGUUUGGAACUUGGAAGUCCAUCUAUCUCUAUCUUUCAAUAAACGCAAAUUCCAGGUGUGGACUUGGUGAUUAGUGCCGAGAAGAUAAACUAGGUUUGCCUUGGUUAUUUGUGCAAUAAUAUUAGUGCAUGAGUGGGAUUGAUUGUAUGCUAUCUUGUCCGGGAGUUGCUUUGUGUCUUUUGUAAUGGGAUUACUACAUGUAAUGUGAAGACUAUAUGAUGCAUGGGGAAAUAAAUUAAGCGAAAACUUCCAUGGGCUCCAUCAUGAGGAGCCUUUGAGUAAGUCCACAAGCCUACAUUCUUGCAUUCUAGUCACAUGUGUCAAAAUAAGUCUCUACAAAUUAAAGUCUUAUUGUCAAAAUCCCACUUUACACAUAAUCUAAAUAAUUUAGCUAAAAUCUAAUAAGUAUGUCUCUCUUUAUAUGUACUUACCAUCCCAACUUUUAAAUUUAGGGAUAUCUAUGUAAUUUAGAUUUUAAAAAGAAAAUUUUAGGGAUAUUUACAAAGAUAAAUGAAAUAUUUUUGGUUCCGAUAACCAUUAUUUUUAUCUCAUUUUGGUUUCUUUGCGUUAUAAAAAAAAUGGUUUGUAGAGAUAAACUAGAGAAAAAAAAAAAUUAUACAAUGGUUUGUAGAGAAAUUUGAUUCGAAAAGUUAGAAAAGAUGAUUUGUUUUUUGCAUUUGCUUCAUUCUAAAAUUCAAUCACUAUCUUUUAUCUCAUUUUGGUUUCCCCACAUUAUCAAAAAAUGAAGGAUAAAAAUAAACUGGGGAAAAAAUUAUACAAAGGUCUCCGAGAACUUUGAUUUGAAGAGUUAGAAAAGAAGAAUUUUUUUGCAUUUGUUUCAUUUUAAAAUUCAAGGUUUUUGGAUUUCUAUUAUAUAUUAAUUAUGAGGAUAGUAGAAUAAUAAUAAUAAUAAACAAAAACUAGUUAUUAGUGACCUUGAUCAAUAGAGUAUAAGUUGUUGACCUUUAUUAUCUUUGUUAGAAGUAGUUAACGAUGCAAUGUAACCUUAGCCAAUAAAGAUGUUUUGAUAUACAUUGAUUGAAAAAUGUCCUUUUAAAACUAGUUAUUAUUGACCUUGGUCAACACAGAGGAUAAGUUGUUGACCUUUAUUACCCUUGUUAGGAGUAGUGAACGGUGUAGUAUAACCUUAGUCAUUAAGGAUGUUAUUAGCCUUUUGCUAUAUCAUUGAUUGAAAGUUGUCCUAUCCACCAAUAAGGAGAAUGAAGGCUAGCCACCAAGUACUAGUUUUAGUAUUUUGGCACAAUAUUAUUACUAGUGAGUCAAAGUGAAAUAUUUGUUGAUAAAACUUUUUUAAUAUGAAUUGAGUAAGCAAAAUAUAUUAUUUAAUUCUAUCAUUAAAUUGGAAGUGUUUAAAUUUUCAAAAACAAUUAUUUUAAUUAUUGAAUCAAAUGAGCUUACAUGUUAAUAGACUUUUAUAAAGAUGUGGUAUCUUCCGAAAUUUUAUUAUAUAUAAUAAUUGAUCUUCCUUAUACUAACUUUUAUCAUUGAGCCAUCGAGUUCACUUUUCUCUGUUAUUCUCCAUUUCAAUUAUAAAUGAUAUAAAGAGGGAUGAGGUAAGAAAAAUAUUUCUAUUAGAGACAGCUUUGGAAUUGAUUUAUUUUAGGAUUAUUUACUAGACUGAAUUCAUUUAUAAUUUCUAAAUUUCUUUUUGAAGAAUUUGAGAAAAUUAAAUUAAUUAUUGAGAGAUUUUAAUUAGUUUUAAAUUUGUUACUUAAAGUCGUUCACAUGUUGGAUUCUAAUAUUUGAUACGUGAAACUAGCAUGAAGGGCUUGACCUCCGGGUUUGGGGCGUCGCAGCUGACUUUAGAUUACAGAAUUAUUAAUCAACCUACCAAUCUUCAAAGCAAUCUAGGAUGCAAUAUGGUUUUGUGAUUUAAGAUCAAGUGGACGCUUCAUUUAUUAUGUCUUCAAAAAAACAUUUUGGGCCUCAAUUCGAGAUUAUCAGAUAUGGAUUCUAACAGUUGCUUCCAAUCAAAUCAGUGUCACAGAAAUCGCUACCAUUGUGGUACCUGAAAAAAAAAAAAAGAGACUCCUUCCCUUAAUAUUGAAAUUUAUCUGAAGCUAUGCAGUAAAUAAAUGCCCCAUUUUGUGCGUCAUAAUGGGGGAUCACAUUCAGAAUCUUCUGCACAUGCAAAUUAAAAUCAAAAUCAAGCCAUUGGCCUAUCACAUUACCAUUUUUGGCCCUUUUGUUUUGUUGUUUUUUUCUUUUUUUGGCGUGUAUAUAAAAAGCAACCACAUUAUCCAACUUUUAUUGAAAACACCAUAUUAUCAGAUACAAAAACGCCACAUCAUUAUUAUUGAAAAUUAAAUUCCCAUAUAUAGAAAGCCACAUAAAAUUCAGUGCCAAUCACAAACAUUCGUUGAUAUUCACUAGGAUAGAGAUAGAGUGCCCAUAUAUGGACAGUGCACCAUACCCGCCGUGAAGUGAUUGGAAGAGUGUGGACUAUGUCAAGCUCCGGACUUAUUUGUAUAGGUAAGGCAACGCUAACCAUUAUUAUUCCCAUGCCACCCUCAAUCAAGCACAGUCAUACACUCGGCACAUGGCACUUCUUGUUUUUAAUUAUUAUCAUAGUGAACAAUGUUUUCAUAAUCGGAUCGAUCAUCGAACCGAAAAAGUUAUCGAUUUACAGUCCAUUAGUCGAACCGACGGUCGAACCAAUAACAUCAUAAAUAUGUAAUUUAUAUAUUAUUAAAAUUAAAAAUAAUUAUACAAAUUUUAAAAUAUAUAUGAAUAAAUUAAAAAUCAAUAAUAUUAUUUUGUAUCUUUAAUAUUAUCAAAUUAAAUCAUAUUAAUAUUUUAAAUUUUAUUGAAUGAAAUAUAUAUAAUAUUUAAAUAUGAAUAUAUUAAAAAUGAAAAUUUAAUUAAACUAAUUUUAUAAUUUUUAAAAAUAUUAUAUUAUUUUUAUUUAAUAUUAUAAAAAAAUUUAAAAUCCAAUAUAUAUUAUUUUGUUUGGCAUAUUAAAUAAUAAAAGAUGUAUAGCCGAGUGGUCCUAGGUUGGUUAUAGACCUUGAGGUCCAAGUUCAAAUCCUUUGGUGGAUUUGUUAAUUUUUUUUUUCAUUGAUUAGGUUAGUUAGCAAUCCCACACUAAGAGGAAUAAGGAUGCUUAUAAAAGCUAGCCUCAUUAUGGGCAAAGGCAUCACCUCAUCUGGUGGGCUUAAGACUCAGCCCAUAAAAUGGUUGGGUGCGGUGUGGGCUUUGUCACAUUAAGACAGGGCCCAUCAUGGGCUUUUGCUAAAUUUUUUUAUACAAGGGAGCCUUCCAUGCUUGCAAAAUGGUGGGAUAACUUGAACCGAUCGAUUCGCUCAAAACCGUCUGAUUUCGUUGGGUUAUCGAUUCAAUCAUCGAUUUAGGUGAUUUGUGACCGGUCCAAUGCUUAGACGGUUUAAUAAAGUAAAUCUAAUAAAAAAUGUGAUGGAUCGACGAUUGAACCAGUUGGAUCAGUCGGUCCCACCCGAUUUUUAAAACAUUAGAUAAUAACAAAUUAAAAGAAGGGUGUCUCCUCAUAUGAGUUUUUUUGAAGUUCUCUACUCUUGGAGUGACUGAAAGGAUAACUGCAGCCUGGUGAGAUGGACUUUGGAAUAUGAGAAGUCAAAUCAGAGGCUCCUUCCUCCAGAUGCUUACCUCAGCCUUGUAAGCAUGAGUAAAGAUAUGGAUGGUUUACCUUCUCAAGGCAUAAACCGCAUAACAGCAAGGCCUAUAUCCUUGACUUGGUCUGAAAGCAUCCUAGCUUGGGUCCUUCUGGGAAUGGGAUUGCCACACGUAUGACCUCUGUAUCAUCAGUUUUGGGGCAAAAUAGCCAUUUUAUGUAUAAAAAAAAAUAAGCUUUAGCCCUUUACAAAACUUAUGUUUAAACUAGCUCACAUAGAGUCAUGUCAUCAUUUUUCUUUUAAACUCAAUUAGACUUUAUUUUUUAACUGAAACUUCAAUUACCAAUUGAGAAUUCAUUUUUUAACUAAAACUUCAAUUUACAAUUGAGGUUUUAGUUAACUUUGUUUUAAAUUUAAAUAAAAAAUUAAAUUAUAAAUUAUUAUUGAAAUUUAAAAAAUAUAUUUUAAUAAUAAUAAUUUAUAUAUUUAAACUUAAAUAUCUAAUAUUACUUCAAUAAAGAUAAAUUGACAAAUAUAAUAAUAAAUAAAUAUUUUAUUUAUCAAUAAAUUAAUAAUUUUAAAAUAAUAAAGUUAUAUGAAAUCUAAAUAAGAUAUAAAAUUAUAUAAUUUGUUAAUUUAAGAUAUUUAAUUUUUUGUAUUUUUAAGAUAUUAAUUUAUUUGUAUUUUGACAAAUUUAUCUUUAUUAAAAUAAUAAUAUAUUCUUAAGUUUCAUAUAUAGAUUUUUUUAUUAUUUUAAAGCAUAUAUUUAUAGUUUACGUAAAAAAAUACUAUUAUUUGUACAUACAAUAUAUAUGCCUUGAAGAUACAUUUUGAAAUUAGUUAAUAAAAUUAAUUAGAAAAAAGUCUACUAUAAAAUUUAAUUUUUAAUAGUUUCAUCAAAGUCACAAAAAAUACUCAUUAAAUAUUUAUAUUAUGGAAAAAAAAUGCCCCUCCCUAAUAUUACAUGUGAUAUAACUUAAAUUAAUAAAUUGUAUAAUUUUAUAUUUUAUUUAUAUGUCAUAUAAUUUUAUUAUUUUAAGAUUAUUAAUUAAUUGAUAAAUAAAAUAUUUAUUUAUUAUAUUUAUCAAAUUAUCUUUAUUGAAGCAAUAUUAGAUCUUUAAGUUUAAAUAUAAAAUUUUUUAUUAUUAAAGUAUAAUUUUUUAAUUUCAAUAAUAAUUUAAAAUUUAAUAUUUUUAAUUAAAUUUUAAAGUAAAAAAAUAAAAUAACUGAAGUUUCAAUUGACAUAUCUUAUUUAGAUUUCAUAUAAUAUUAUUAUUUUAAGAUUAUUAAUUUAUUUAUAAAUAAAAUAUUUGUUUGUUAUUAUAUUUAUUAAUUUAUUUUUAUUGAAGUAAUAUUAGAUCUUUAAGUUUAAAUAUAUAAAUUAUUAUUAUUAAAAUAUAUAUUUUUUAUUUCAAUAAUAAUUUAUAAUUUAUUUUUUAAUUAAAUUUUAAAAUAAAAUAAAAAUUUUAACUAAAACCUCAAUUGUCAAUUGAGGCUUUAGUUAAAAAAUAAGUUUCGAUUGACAAAUGAUACUUCAAUUAAAAAAUGAAGUCUUAGUUGGUAAUUGAGACUUCAACUUAAAUUUUAAAAAAAAAAAAUUAUGACAUAACUCCUAUAUGUGAUAAUAAAGGAACUAGUUUAAACAUAAGUUUUAUAAAAGGGUUAAAACUUAUAUUUUUUUCUACAUAAAAAACUAUUUUGCCCUAAAACUCCCGUAUCGUCGACUAGCUACUGCUUUACUCCAUGUAACAUCUUGUCUACUUAAUUAUAUGAACUUCCUGAAUUAAUGCUGGAAUGACAAACCAAGUUUUAUUGAAAAUGGAAACCUUCUUAGAAUCAAACAUUUGCUCGAACAAAUUUCGCAAUAAAAAGAGGAGAGUUGUGAAAAGAAGCAUUUUUCCUGCAGCCAAUUACCUUUUCAUACAUUACUUUAAAACAAAUUAACAAAUAGUGAUCUCAUAUUUUACCUUUUCUGUUGCAGAUUACUUUUAAAAAUAUUCUCUCCACAGGCACUCCUACGGAAUCUUUCUCCAAAUCAAACUGUACAUUUUACUCAAAUUUUAAUAUCUAAUUAUAAAUAAUUAUGGGUGAGAUUGCAAUCCUUUGCUUAGCUCUUUGAAAAUCUAUGAUGAUACUCGGUAUUAAUAUUUUAUUUUAUUAAAGAUAAAAAUAUCAAAAUAAUUUUAGAACUUUUUAGUGGGGAUAAUACUUCCCCAUUAGGCUGCUUACAAGGCAUAAAUUAAUAUUUUUUUAAUUUUAAUAAAAGCAAUUUGGUACAGUUGACUUGAUUGAUAACUAUUUAAGAUAGGAUUUAGACUAAUUUAGAUUAAUUAGAUUGCAUUUACAGUUCCGUUACCUCGAAACAAAGUUGGUGCAACAUUAACCAUGAUUAUGGUGAUAUAUUUUAGUUUUAUAUUUUUUAAGGGGAUAAUUUUUUUUUUUAAUGGUUUGAUGUUAGCUUAUAAGAAAAACCUAAACCAUAAAAGCCGAAUCUUUCCAAUAUUGAUCCAAUUUCUAUCAUUAAAAAUAUAUGAAUAAAACUUUUGAUCCUUAAAUAAAAGUAUACAAACUAUCGUACAAAAUAAUGGAAUCAAAUAUACAAAAUAAGAUUAAGGAAAUGUUUGAUAAAACUUAAUAUUUAUUAUUUAAUAAUUUAAAUUAACUCUAAGUUAAAUUAUAUUUAAGUUGUUGACUUAAAACUUAUUAUUUAAUUUUUAUUUUAAGUAUUAAGGUUAUUUAAAAAAAUUAACUUACAAUUUAUAUUAAAUCAUCAAAUUAAAAUAUUUAUCUUAAUAAAUUAUAACUAAGACAAAUAAGGUUAAAUAACAAUGGAGGUUGUGAAGUCAUAAAAGAGAUCAUAAAUGUAAUUGAGAGAAAAAAAGACAAAAAUAUAAAAUGAAGAUACUGACUUAAAAAUAAAUAAAUUUUUUUAUUUAUUAAGUCUUUUAUUUUAAGUCAUACAAUAAAAUUAUUUUAUCAAACAUAUUUAAUUUAUUUAAUAAUAUAAUUAAAAUAUUAAGUCACUUAAAGUUAUUAAAUUGGUUUACCAAACACGUACUAACGUACAAAUAAAUAAGACUAAAAUAGAAAACAAUGAAACUUAAACACAUAUAUGACAUGGUCUAUUUAAUUGUAUUUUUUUAUAAAUGCCUCUUUAAUACUUCCCAAAUCAUAACAUUAAAUUUCUUAAAUUGAUAUAAAACAUUUUUUUUUUUCUANNNNNNNNNNNNNNNNNNNNNNNNNNNNNNNNNNNNNNNNNNNNNNNNNNNNNNNNNNNNNNNNNNNNNNNNNNNNNNNNNNNNNNNNNNNNNNNNNNNNACAUAUAUGACAUGGUCUAUUUAAUUGUAUUUUUUAUAAAUGCUCUUUAAUACUUCCAAAUCAUAACAUUAAAUUUCUUAAAAUUGAAUUAUAAACAUUUUUUUUUUCUAUGAUUGAAUCAUUUAGCACUCCAAGUUUUACUAUUGGACGAAAUGUUAAGGAUCUAAUAAAUGGGUAACAUUAAUUUGCUGAAAUAGUUUUUCUUAUUACUUAUAAUGGUUUUAAGAAUGUUGAAAAAAAAAUUCAUGGGAAAACAUUUAUCAAACUCAAAUUUUGAUUCCUAUUUACUUUAUCUUUCCUUGUCAUGUCUCUUUCUAAUUUUCCUUUUUUAGCGGUUUGUUUAUUAGAACAGUAUAUCAUGCCUGUGAUUCUCUUUCUAUCACUUCUUUUCAAUUGAUUUGUUUAAUGCAAUAAUAUUUGUUUAAUGCAAUAAUAUAUCAUGUUAGACAAAAUAACACCUACCUACUACCCAAAUCCCCAAUGUGACAAUGAACUCUAUCUUUAAGCAUUAUUAUAAAAUUAAACGUAAAGGAUAUUAUAAGUUUCUUCCAUUCCACGUGCCUUUCCCAUAUAUUGAAAGGUGGAGGUUAUCAUUUUUAAAAGAUCAAUAAUUGUAAUGAAUUUUCCAUUCCACGUGCCUUUCCCAUAGAUUGAAAGGUGGAGGUGAUCAUUUUUAAAAGAUCAAUAAUUUUAAUGAAUUUCAUAUAUUUGCAUAUUUUUUAAGAGGGAAUUCAAAUUAACUCAUCUUAUUUCUCAAUGUUACGUAACUCCUGCCUCAAAUUAAAAUCAUCAUAUCAUUAUGAACAACUUUGAUACAACUAUUCAAUUUUUAAUAUGAAUUCUUUCAUUCUCAAAUCAUUGUUCAAGUUAGCUUUAUUAACUUAAAAAAACUCAUUCUUUGUCACUACUCCCUCUAUGAUUAUUAAAUGAUAAAAUUGUCAUUGUCUUAAAAACUAAUUUUGAUAAUAUAUUCAUCAACAUAUUUACAAAUUUAAAUUAAUACAAGUUGUAAGAAAUGUAUCAUAAAGAAGAUACAAAACUAGAAGUAGAUGAUAAUUAAUUAUUUUUUUUCUUUAUUGAACUUUGACACCCCAUCCAAAUGCAUUAACGAGAAAAAUAGUGUUUUAUGCUUGUUUUCAAUUAAUCUUGUCAAUAUGUACAUGAAAAACAAUGAUUUAUGCUUAUAAAUCUUAUCAAUUCGCUUAUUUGUAUAUGUAAAAUGAAAUUAUUGAAACUACACGUAGAAUUGCAUGAGGAAAAAAAUACAACUACUGCAUUUAUAAAUGAAUAAAAGCUUGGCUUAAAAUUCAAAAUUCUCAAAACUAUGUUUUCCACACCAAAAUAUUUCAUCCAGCCAACCAAACACCGAUUGAAUCCUCCCUCUAAAGCAUAUUGCCCAAGAUUACAGGCAACGUAGUAAUUACCUAGGCAAGUACGUCAGAAUUAUAGCUUCUUUUUUUUUUUUGUUUUUUUUCAGUUCAUUGACUCGGCUCCACCCAACCACUAUCAGUAUCAGUUACUACCAGAGAGGGUACUGGGUACUGGUUACUGGGCAGGAGCUUUUCCAAAUUCACAACCCGUCUUCUUUAUAUAAGGGCAAGUUUAUGUAUUUCCUCUCGCCAUUGCCUUUUGUUCGAAUCAUUUGAAGUUGAUUUUAUUAAUCCAUCAGAAAAACAUGGCUCUAACUGGUAAAUUGGAGAUUGAAACAGAGAUCAAAGCACCUGCUGAUAAGUUCUUUAAAAUCUUCAGGAGCCAAGCACACCACCUUCCUAAUAUCUGCUCCGAUAAAAUACACAAAAUCGAGGUACAUGAAGGUGACUGGGAGACUCAGGGCUCUGUCAAGCAUUGGAGUUACACCAUUGGUAGGAUAUGCAACUCGAACUCAGAACCCCAAAACACUAGCUAGCAUUAUAUUCCGUUAAAAUGUUUUUUGAUUUUUUUUCCCCAUUUCAUUGUUGUUUUCUUCACAUUUUUUUAUUCUUUUAGAAUAAAUGCAUGGCUCUUUGUACAAUUUUUCUUUUUUUCUUGCAAAGAAGUGGUCAAGUCUGGGCCGCCAGUGACUAUGAUCGAUGGUUCUUAGUAAUGUAUAUGGCAUCUAAUAUUAGCUUCAACAUAUUCCAAUUACUAGGAGGGAAUUCUAAGAGCAUUAAGGAGAGUGUGGAAUCAAUAGAUGAAGAGAACAGGUCCAUUACGUUCAAGGUUUCGGAUGGAGAGGUGCUGAACGACUACAAGAGCUACAAGUUCACCACACAAGCAAUACCAAAGGGAGAGGGCUGCUUGGUGAAAUGGACCAUUGAAUAUGAGAAGGCAAGUGAGGAUGGGCCAGAUCCCCAUGACUACCUGGAGUUUGCAGUUACUGUCACCAAAGAUAUCGAAAGUCACCUUCUCAAUGCAUAACACCAAGUCCAUACAUACCGUCUGCUAGUAUCUCUAUUAAAUAAAGUUUGGAACUUGGAAGGGCAUCUACGAUCUCUAUCCUUCAAUAUAUGCGAAGGCUUAGGGGAACUUUUAGCAGCUGUGGCUUGGUGAUUAAUGCUGAGAAGAUAAACUAGGUUUCCCUUAAUUAUUUGUGUAAUAAUGUUAGUGCAUGCGUGUAAUCGGUUGUAUGCUUGUCUGGACUCUAGGGGUUGCUUUGUGAUUGUUAAUUGGUGUCUUUUGUAAUGGGAUUACUACAUGUUAUGUGAAGACUAUAUGAUGUAUAAGGAAAUAAAGUGAAAAUUACCAGGGGCUAACUCCAUCAUGAGGAGCCUCUGAGUAUGUCCACAAGUCUACAUUCUUGCAUUCUAGUCACAUGUGUCAAAAUCAGACCCUAACAAAUUACAGUCUUGAUCAUUGAAGGGGUAAAAUCCCACUUUACAUAUAAUCUAAAUAAUUUAGCUAAAAUCUAAUAAGAAUAUCUCUCUCUACAGGUAUGUAACCUUCCAACCUUGAAUUUAAGGAUAUUUAUAUAAUUUAAAAUUAUAAAAAGAAAAUUUUGGAUAUAGGACAAAUUAAUUUUUUUUUUAAAAAAUAACGAAAGUGAAUGAAAUAUUUUUGGUUCCUAUGACCACCCACUUUUUUUACUUUUUAUUUUUAUCUCAUUUUAGUUUCUCCACGUUAUAAAAAAAUGAAAAGAUAAAAUAGAGAGGAAAAAAGACAACUUGGAUUUGUAGAAGUUUCUUUCUUUCAUGGUGUUUUUCUGUUCUGUUUUUGCCUUUGUUUCAUUCUAAAAGUCACUCACUAUCUUUAUCUCAUUUGGGUUUCCCCGCGUUAUCAAAAAAUGAAAAUAUAAAACAAAGAGGAAAAAAAAACCUAUACAAAGGUCUUUGGAAUUUUGAUUCAAAGACUUAAGAAAAGAAUAAUAAAUUUUUGCAUUUGUUCCGUUCUAAAAUUCAAGGUAAGUUUUUCACAUAUAAUUUUUUUUUAGGAAUUCUAUUAUCUAUUAAUUAUGAGAAUAGUAAAUAUAUAUAAUAAUAAUAAUAAUAAUAAUCAUCAUCAUCAUCAUCAUCAUCGUCAUCAUCAUUAUCAUUUUAAAACUAGUUAUUAGUGAUCCUAAUCAAUCGAGAACAAGUUGAUUUUCAUUACCCUUGGUAAUGGUAGUGAUAAAAUAUAUUUUUAGUUAAUAAGGGUGUAAUUAGCUUUGGGGUUUCAUUGAUUAGAAAUUAUUUCAUCUACUAGUAAAAAAAACAAAGUAAAACUAACCAUCAAGUGCAAAUCAUGAAUUUUUUUAAAUAUGAAUUGAGUAUACAAAGUAUAUUAUUUAAUUAUAUAUUUAAAUUGAAAGAGAUUAAUUUUUCAAAAAUAGUGAAUUUAAUCAUUGAAUCAAAUCAACUUACCUGUUAUAAAGAUGUGAUAUGUUCCAAAAUUUAGUUGUAUACAAUACGUGACCCUUCUUAUUAAACUAUCCUUUAUCAUUGAGCUAUCUAACUUACCUUUCUCAAUUAUUAUCCUUUAAGGUACAUCAAAUAUUGGUAUAAAUGAGAAGAGAUCGAGAUAUGAAAAGUAUUUCAAAUAGAAACAUCUUUAGAAUAGAUUUAUUUUUUAGGAUUGUUUACUUAGAUCAAGUUUAUUUUAAUUUCUAAAAUGUUUUUUUAAGUGUUUGAGAGAAUUAAAGUUAUUAUUUAGAUAUUUUAAUUAGUUUUGGAUUUGUUUGUUAAGGUCAUUCAUACAAAGAUGAUAUCCAUUUCUGUGUUAUAUUUUAUUUUAUUUAUUUAUUUCUUAUUUCAUGUAUUAAGUUUGAUAAAACUGAAGGUGAAAUCAACAUUGAAUUGCUAAAAAUGUCAAUUACUAUUGUUAAUUUAUCACAAUUAUGAUUUUUUAAUUGUAGCACAUAGUAAAAUUAUUAUUAUUAUUAUUAUUAAUAUUUAUACUCUGGUCGAACUUAUCCAUGGCCAAUCCAUCAUGUAGGCCAAUUUUGUCAAACUUAUCCAUGGCCCAUCCAUCAUGUAGGCCAAAUUUUUAUUAGCAUUUUUGGGUCAUAACUCUAGAUGCUGACAUUAAAGCAUUUCUGGCAUAAUAAUUAUUGGAAAAGGAUGUCUCCUCUUUCAUGGAUCACAACCAAUACAGCAAAGAUGAUGAUAGAUAGCAUCCUUAUCACCUCAUGUGUCUUGACCUCUUCUUCAAGCUUGAGUGUCUUGUCCUAUAUUUAACGCAUGUACCAUUGCCUCCAAGAUAUGGUGACAGGAAUUAUAUAGCUACUGACUAGCUAGUCUUCACUCCAAAAAUAUGAUGGCCACUUUUUUGAAAUAUAACUCUUUAUCCUAUUGACUUAAACUCACCACCUCUUUCAGAUCCUCCACAAGGAUCAACUUAUUAAGAGUUUGGUCGAAGUUUGAUCCACUUUUCUAAAUGAGCAAUGUUAAAUUAUUUUAUUCAAACAAAUUUGAUGAUCAAAUAUCUCUUAUUUUCUCAAAUUUAAAUAACAUUCCUUUAUAAAAAUAAUUAUAAAAUUUAUUAUAAUCACUCAUUUUCAAUGGCUCAUUAGUAGAUGUUCAUUGUAUUAAAAUACAUUUAUAUGAUUAAGAAAAACUUAUACAUUUCUAUUUUUUUUUUCUAUGCAUAAUUUAUAAUAUCUCAUAUAGGAUUUAUUGGGUUUAGAAACAUGUAAUAUUUAUAUAAUAGUGAGUGAAUUAUUAUAAAUGGUAUGAAAAUUGAUUUUCAACCCUUUAUGAGAAUUUAUUUAAUACUACAAUAUAUGACUCUAUGUUUGAUUAUGUAAUCCUAUAAGACACGAUGUCCAUUAAGUUCAUUAUAUUAUUUUUAAUUAUGUAAAAAUAUUUUAAAAUUAAAAAAAUUCAUUAAACUUAGUGCAGACGCUAUCUAUAUAAAAGGAAAUAAAUGGUUAUACUUCAUCAUAUUCGUUUCUCAUAUUUGAUAUAUAUCAAUUUCAGCGACUAUUAUUCAACAUUGCCCGAAGCAAUAGGUGCCUCACUUUUACAAAGAAAACUUCCUCUAUUGAUAUUUCUCAAAUAUAAAUUCAUGUCAUGGACUCAUGGUUAACAACCGAUAGAUCCUAAAACAAUUAGAUAUCUCAGAUAUUGAUUGACCAAAUGGACAACCGAUGCUAUAGUAAGAGCUGUUGCUGUUAUCUUUUAAUUUAAAUAUACACAAACGACAAAAUGCUUAACUAAUCCACCACCCAGGCGCCGGGCCACAGAAAUGAAAUACCGCCUACCCCAACAUUUUGGAAUUAAAAAUCUACACCACCCAGAUCUUGCUGUGAUUUGGUAAAUCCCGAGAAAUUGACAACCUUCCUACGCUGGGGAGGCGUGGUUCCAUUCAAUGCCAACAUUUUCGGAUGGGUCCAGAGAGUUGUACAGUGACUUUUAAAUAAAGAAUUGUUUUAAACCUUGACUUUGGGCUCUUUAUCAGGAAUAUGAAAAUAUUGGGCAAUGACUAGAUUCGAGAGCAGGUUGCAUGCAUAGAUAUCGCAUUAAUUUUUAGCAAUCGUUAUGACGAAAGAAAAUCUGCAGAACCAAGCGAAUUUUCCUAGUCAUCAUGAGAGACAUUAGACAAGGUUUUCAAUUCAUAAAAUUGCCUUAUCAUCUGGAAUUAAAUAUUUUCAAGCUAAGGAUGAGGUUCAAUCCGUACGGGGCAAUGAAAAUAUAUGGAUGCCCUAUAGAGUGGUUGAACAUUCUACAGUUUCGUCCCUAUUUAUAGAAGAAGAUGAAAUUUUAAGCAAUUUGCUUCAAUGCAAUUUUAGCAUAUUUCAGCUAGUCAUAGCAACGUCUAAUUUCGUUGAUGUAGAAGAAGCUAACACCAAAGAUUCAUCUAGGUAGAAAGAAGUAUCGAGCAUGUAACUAACCGCAGAACUCACAUCUAGGGACCCUAUUGUAAAUAUAACAGGUGAUGGACAUAAAGAUAGAUAUGAGUAAAAGAGUGGAACAUAAAAUCCAAAUUUCAAAAGUAUGAUAGUUUUUUAGUGUUUCUUUGAAUCUCGUAGGAAUUUAGGUCAUUUUCAAUCUCAUCCAUGAGACAAGGUACAAUAAUUGUUGAAGAAUAAGAGUAUUGUUGGGCAGUUCGGCGAGCUAUAUAUAAAGAGAGAGACUUCUUAACCAUAUAAAUAUUAUCCUCUAUAACUCUAAAUUUUUUUUUCCUUUAUCCAAUAUAAAAUAUCACAAUCACUUUUAUGUAUGCACUCUUUUUAAUCACGUCGCAUAAAAUUACACCAUUUUCAAAGCUAAAUAAACUCCUAUAUAGGGGUCAUAUAUUGACUUCAAUACUCUUUGAAACGACUCACACUUAAUCAUAUAAACUCAUUAUAAUAAUGUAUUUCCUAAUUUCAUGGAAUUUCAAUAAAAUAUUUAUUACUUUCAAAUGGGAAUUAGAGAGGAAUGUUGUCUAGCUAACUCAUAAUUCUUCUUUAUAAGUUCAAAUUAGGUAUUUACUUCUUCCUACCAUUACCUCAUAUUUUGAUUGUUUCUUCGUUAAUAUAUAGUUGGUUAAACUAAUAAACUAGAGGUUAGGAUGGAGAUCAAUUUAGAUUAUGUUUGUUUUGAGUUUAAUAAACCCUUACGACUUUAAAAUGUGUUUAGAUAGUUAAGAGAAACUUAUACAUAUAUAAUAUUAAAAAAAUUUCCUCAUUUAAUGUGAGAUAUUAUAAUCAUCACUCAUGUAGACAUAAUAUAUUUGUUGUAAGUCAGAAGAUUGUAAAACCAAACAAAUUUUUUCAUUGAAAUAUAAUAUUAUUUGUAAUGGUUCACUUUCUCUCAUGGAUCCCAACUCCAUUAGGUUCUUCAUGAAGCUUGUUUCAGUUUAUUAACCACCGAUGUAGCAAAGAUGAUGAUAAGUAGUAUUUUUGUUUCUCAUAUGUUUUCAGACCUCAUCAAGCUUGAGUGCCUUAUCCCAUCUCUAACGCAUGUACCAUUGCCUCCAAAAUAUGUUGCCAGAUUAUACAUAAUAUCAUAAUUAUAGCUACUGAAGUCCAACGACUACCUAGCUAGUCUUCACUCCCAAAAACAUGAUGGUCACUUCUUUGAAAUAUAACUCUUAUCCUAGUGACUCAAACUCACCACCUCAUUGACAUCCGUCAUAAGAAUUUCAGAGACUCUUCAAAGUUUGAUCCACUUUUAUAGAUGAAUAAUGUAAAAUUCUUUUAUUCAAACAAAUUUGAUGAUCAAAUAUCUUUUCUUUCCUAAAAAUUAUAUUUCCUUUUUAUAAAUCUUAUUUUAAUGACCCAAUUACAGUAUGGUAGAUAUUGUUUGUUUCGAGUCCAAUAAACCCUUAUAACUUUAAAAUAUGAUUAAAUAGUUAAGAGAAACUUAUAAAUAUAUAAAUGUGAGGUCAAAUAAAUUUUCAUAUUGAGAUAAAAGAUUAACUUUAAUACUAUUUGUAAUGGUUUACUUUCUUUCAUGUAAACAUCAUCCACUUUAUACUCAAUGAAUCAUUGAAGCUUUAAAACAUAUUUACAUGAUUAAAAGAAACUCGUACAUAUAGUAUUAGAAUUUUUUUUUUCUGACCCAUGAUUUGCAAUAUAUGUAUAAAUACGUUUUAAAGUUAUGAGGAUUUAUUAAGUUCAGAGUAAAUAGUAUUUAUAUUAAAUGGAAUGACAUGUCACAUGCAAAUAAUAUCAAACUCAAUCUCCAAUUUUUAUAUAAGAGUUUGUUUGAUUUUAUAAAAAAUGUUUGUGUGUUUCAUUCUACAAUUCUGUGAGACACAACAUCCAUUUAAUUUAUUAAAGUCUUUUUAACUAUGUAAACAUGUUUUAAGUUGUUAAGAUUGAUUGGGUAAAAACAGAAGAGGUGAUUGUGUGUUUUAUCCUACAAUUCAAUGAGGCAAUGCCUAAUUGAUUCAUUGGGGUACUUUUAAUCGUUAAUGCAUGUUUCAAUGUUGCUAAGAUUGAUUGAGUGAGGAAAAUAUCUACAUAUGAAAGGCAACAGUUAGUUACACUUCAUUAUGUUUUUUUCUAAUAUAUUGAUAUAUGUCAAUUUCAGUAGUUAUUAAUUCAACAUCGCCCAAAGUAACCAAUGCCUCGCUUUUCCAAACAAAACUUUCUCUAUUGAUAUUUCUUAAAUAUAAAAUCAUGUCAUGGUAAGCAUCCGAUGGAUACUAAGACAAUUGGAUAGAUAUCUCAGAUAUUGAAUGGACCAAAUGGGGUAACGGAUGUGGUAGUAUACAAGCGCUGUAUAUCUUUUAAUUUAGAUAUACACACACAACGUAAUGCCUAAUCCAUCCAGCCGGGGGGCCGGCCAGAGAGAUAUAAAAUACCCCCAAUCCCAUCAUUUUGUAUUUUGUAUUGGAAUUAAAAAUCCAAACCCAGAUAUUGCUAUGAUUUGGUAAAUCCCGAGAAAUUGAGAACCCAUCCUGGGGGAGGCAUGGUCCCCCUAUUCAAUGCCAACCCUAUUUUCAAAUGGUGUCUAAAGAGUUGUACAGUUAACGGUGACUUUAAAAUAAAGAAUUGCCUUAAACCUUGAUUUUAGGCCCUUCUUCAAGAAUAUGAAAAUGCAUGUUGGGCAAUGAUUUAGAUUCGAAAGUGGGUUCUGCAGACAUCACAUUUCUGCAGAGCCGAAAAUAUUUACAAGCGUAGGACGAAGCUCAGUUCAGAUGGGCCUCGAAGAUGAAUUUUUAAGCAAUUUGCUUGAUACAUUCAGCAAUUGAUAAUUUAAAAUAAAAAAAAUUAGGAAAUAGAAAGUAAAACAUAUAUGGUUAAAACUUCAAUGCAAUUUUAGCAUAUUUGAACUAGUCAUAGGAGCGUUUAAUUUCUUUGAUGAAGAAGCUGAACACCAAAGAUUCAUCCAGGUAGAAAAAUGUAUUGACCAUCUAAUUGUCUGCAGAACCUACAUCUAAGUACCCCGCUAUAAAUAUAAGAGGCAACUUAGGUGAGGGACAUAUAGACACAUACGAAUGCCAUUGUAGAAUAUAAAAUCCAAAUUUCUCAAAACUAUAAGGUUAUGUUUGAAUCCAAAAAAAUAUUAGAGGAAGUGAAAAUGUUAAGAAAAAUAAUUUUUUAUGAUUAAUUUUAUUAUAAAAAAUAUAAAAAAUAAAUAUAAUUAAAAUUAGUUAGAAUUUUACAUAUUUUUAAAUUAUAUAAUUUGAAUUUAAAUAAAUAUAUAAAAAUAAGUCAUUAAUUUUAGAUCUAUUUCUUUUUUCUUUUUUUAUAUUCUCCCACAAAAUUUCAGUAACCGAACACAACCUAAUAGUUUCCACUGUUUCUUUGAAUUUCUCAACUUCAAAAUCUCUUGUCUAUGAGACCUCAGAGUAAUUAAUUCCUACCUCUUGGUGACUAGGCCAAGCGCAUGGAUAGGCACAUUGACCCACUUGUAAUUGCCUAGGCUAAUAGGCCAAGCUCAUAGCAAUUUUCCUUUUUUAUUUUUUAAUUUCGUCGUAGGACUUGGUCUCCACAAGGCACUAUAACGUAUCCCCUAAUUUCAUUUCAUGGAACUUUAAUAAAAUAUCUAUUGCUUUCAAGUGGGAACUGGAGAGCAACGUUGCCUAGCUAACUCACAAUCCUUCUAUAUAAGUUCAAGCUAGGUAUCUUCUUCCUUCCACCACUGCCCACUGCCUUGUAUUAGGAUAUCGUUUCUUAGUUAAUAUAUAGUUGAUUAAUUUCCAUCUCCAACUACUACUAUUAUUAGAAAAAUAUGGCUCUAACUGGCAAGCUAGAGGUUGAAAUGGAGAUCAAUUCACCUGCGGAUAAAUUCUAUAACAUCUUCAGGAGGCAAGCACACCACAUUCCUAAUAUCUGCUCAGAUAAAGUACACCAAAUUGAUGUACAUGAAGGUGACUGGGAGACUCCAGGCUCCGUCAAGAACUGGGGUUAUACUCUUGGUAAGGCAACCACAACUCAAACCCCAAAACCCUAGCACUAUUAGUCUGUAAAAAAAAAUGAUUUUUUUAGUUUUUCUAUUUCAUUUAAUUGUUUUUUUGUUUGGCAUUUUCCCCUUUAGAAUAUUAAUUUAACUGCAUUAAUUCGGAGUUGAUCCCAUCAUGUGGAAGUUUAUGCUUCUGUUAUGAAUACAGCUUUGUAUGCCUUCCUUAUGUUUAAUUCAACCUAAAGCAUGUAGAAUUGAUGGUCAAAGUCUAUGGGACCCUUUUUUCAUGACCGCCAUGCAUGGGGCUUUCCCAGGUGACUGCCCGCUACUAAAGGGGCCUAAAGUUUAGGUCCCCCGAGUUAGAACUUAGAAGAGGGAUUAUGAAUGAUCAGUGAAGUUGUAAGGUUUUGAUCUUCUUAGAUAUUACCUAGAAAGAGGAUUGACUUUACUUGACUUUUACCAUAUUGAUUUAGAGAUUGGCGAUUGCUUUAAAAGGUUGUGUCAACAGAAGAAAACUUAAAAAAUAUUAAGAAAAAUAAAAAAAAUGAUUUUGUUUUUAUAAAAAAAAUCAAAUAUAAUAAAAACGAGUUGAAAUUUUAUUUAUUUUUAAAUUAACUUUUAUAUAGAAGAAUUAAAAUACGUUAAGUAAAUUUGAAUCAAAAUAUAAAAAUAAUUAAUUUCUUAAUUUUAAAUUUAUUAUUUUUCUUUUAACUUCUUUUUUGUUUUUUCAUUUUCUUUUCUUUUGUAUUUUCUUCAAAUUUUUUUAGAACCAAAUAUAGUCAUUAUGAAAAGAUGGGCCACGAAGUGACUACGCAUGUCAAUUUGCUUGAGAUUUCGCAAUCUAGUAGUUUCAAAAUACUAUGCUUAACCCCUUGUUUUGGUUUGAAAUUACUAGGAGGGACUUCUAUGAGCCUUAAAGAGACUGUGGAAUCAGUAGAUGAUGAAAACAAGUCAAUCACUUUCAAGGUUGUGGAUGGAGAGAUCAUGAACCAUUUCAAGUGCUUCAAGUCCAACUUGCAAGUAAAAGCAAAGGAUGAGGGCAGCUUGGUGAAAUGGAGUCUGGAAUAUGAGAAAGUAAAUAAGGAUGUCCCAAAUCCUGAUGCUUACCUGGAGUUCGCAGUUAAUGUUACUAAAGAUAUUGAAAGCCACUACCUCAAGGCAUGACACCAAGGCCAUGUGGUAUCCUCGGUAGUAUUACUUCAAUAACGCUGGUGUUUGUAAUUUGGUUGAGUUGUAUGCUUUACCAGGAGUGGCCUUGUGAUUGGCUGGUUUCUUUUGUAAAGGCAUUAUCAUAUAUGAUGUAAAUACUGUACCUUAAAUAAAAAGAAAAUCAGCAAAGACCCUCCUUUUUAAUGUGGAUAAUUGCUUUUAAUGUCACCUUUGUUGAUCGGUUUACAAGACAAGAGUUAACAAGUAGUCCCUAUUUAUUAAAUAUAAGAAUUUUCUGUAUCCAUUAAUCAUCAUCAGUAAGCUAAUAAAAUGGCUGAUAUUUUUCUUAAUAAAAACAGCAACAGUUACUGAGUUUAUAUAUAGGACACCAGUUGCAGAUUAGAUUUCUUUGGCUUGAUUGUGAUCUUUCUACAUGUUGGAAAAAUAUUGUCAUUUGGUAUUUAAUAUCAAAUUUUAAAAAUAAUAUUUAAGAUAUGAAGAAAAAAACAUACAAUGAUUCAUAUUUUUAACUUUAAUAUGAUUUAAAGUUCAUCGAGUAACCGUUUUGAAAUCAUUCACCCUUGAUCUUCACUUUCCUAGUCUCCCUUUACACGUUCCUUAGUGGUGAGUAUGAAAAUGAUUCCAUUGAAUUGUAAGAAUGGAAAGAGGGAUAAAAAAUUCUUCUAUUUAUAAGCAUAGAAUGAUUCUUCUUAUCAGUGAACCAUUAACUAAAUACUUUAAACAUAUUAUUAAUUAAUAAUAAUAAUAAUAAUAAUUAUUAUUAGAAAAUAAAUUUCAUAAAUAUUAUAAAUUUAAAAAAGAAUCUAAUUUAAUUCUUAAAAAAUUUAUGCAUGAAAUUUUUAUAUUAUUUUUAAUUGUUUUCUAAGGGUUAUUUUAAGAAAUUAUUAUACAAACAUAUAAAAUAAUUAAAAAUAAAACAAUAGAUAUAAAAAUUAUUUUUAAAAAUAUUAAAAAUAAAUUCAAAAUAUUUUAAGUUGCCAAACAAAUUUUUUAUUCUACAAAAAUCAGAGAUAGUUUUCAAAAUCUCUUUUAAAAAACUAUUUUUCAGAAUUAUUUUAAAAAAUAGUUACCAAACAAGCCCUAAAAGAUUUAUAUAUAUAUAUAUAUAUGAAAUUAAAAAAAUAUCAAAUAAUAAAAAUUCAAACAAUGGUAAGGGUGUCACUAAUGAUCGGUUUGGAUUUAAACUAACAUUUUUUUAUAUUGAGUAAUUUAUUUUUUAUUCUAUAUAUUAGAAAAUUGAAUUUAAAUGUAACUUUUUCAAAUAAAAUAGUUAGAUCACACUUGAUAUAUAGUAAUAAUUUUUUAAAAACUAAUGGUCAUAAUUUAAAAAAAUGAUGAAAAAAAAAUCUCAAAUAUAUUGCAUAUGAAUGUAUAUAUUUAGUUUUAUACAACAUGUUAGACAUAUAUUAGUUAUUAACUUAUUAUAAUCUACUAAAAUAUUAAUUCUAUACGAGGGGAUUAGAUUUCUCAUUGUUGAUUUUAUAACCCUCAUUGUGGGAUUAUAAAAUGUCAUUGCAAUCACUCCCAAUUUAGUCUAUGCAAAUCAAAUAUAGAAAUGCAAUUUAUCUCUGUCACAAUUUGUUACACAAUAAUGAUAAUGGAUAAUAAAUAAAUAAAUAAAUAAAAUUAAAGAACACACAUUUAUGUAUAAAACUUUAGAUGAGAAAAAUCAUGGAUAAGGAAAAUGAAUAUCCAAUAUAUCAAAAGAUUGGUAUAAAAGAUGAGAAAUAUAAACAACUAUGAUAAAAAUAUAAUCAUCAUAACCUUAAAAUUAUGUGAAAGUAAUUAACAAAGUAGGUCCAUACAUAAGGACAAAGAGCCCCCUCAAAGGUAUCAAUGGUGGGGGUGUGGGGUGUGGGAUCGGAUCAAAUUCCAACGUUAUCAAUGGUAGGCUAGGGGAUCGGAUCAAAUAGAAUUUGGAUCGCCAAACCUUAAUACAUUUUAUGCUUUUUCUUAUUGGUUUAGAUUUAUGAUAAUCUCCUCCACCAGCAAAAUAAAGUUAUACCGGAGGAUUUUCUUUGUUUUGGCUGUCACACUUUCACUUCUUUGCUAAUAGCCUAACAUCAAAUGAGAAAAUAGAGACAUUUUAAAAAUGAGAACAAAUUCUCGAGGAUUUAGUUGUCUGCCACUAGACUAUAAAAAAUGCUUUCCUGUUAUUUUACCCCCUAAAAUAAGUUUGAUACAAUGCAUCUAUUUUCUGGCUCCGACAAUGUUUAAGAAUACAUCAACCGACCUCAAACCACAUUAUUUCGGUUUGAAAAGAAGGCUUUAUUAUGUCAGUAUGGCUGCUAAGAAGACUUUUGGAAUAUAAUAAAACAAGUCCAGCGAGUUGAUGGUUUGGAAUCGAGAGAUCAUGAAUGAUUUCCCUACUUUAGAGUCAAUAAUUAAGUGGAAUGUGAGAAGGUGAAUGAGGAUGGCCCGGGAUCCAAUGCUUACUAAACUAUUGAAGAUCACCUUCCUGAGGCAUAAUUCCAUUACUUUUCAUCGACGCUGCGAUGCUAUAAAAGAAUAUUAUAAAAAUGCAAGGGUAAUGAAAUAUUGUACAGCCUUUACCGUAUUGAAGAACGUGGACUGAUUGCUAGGGUACCCAACACCCACCAUAAUUCCCACACCAACUCCCAACCAACCCGAUCACGUAGGGCCUCACAUGGCCUCAUUAUCAUUUAUGUGGAAAGAUAAUGCUAAACUAUAUACGGGAUGGCCAUUCUACCAGCCAACCUGUAAUGAUUUUGAUAAAAGUAUACUAAAAAUAGAAGGAGAAAUUAAGUUAUCAUUUGAUAACGGUUUUUAAAAAUUGUUUUUAAUAUUUUAUAAAAUAAAAUUUUAUUUAGAAAUACAAAAUAUUUUUAACUUAUUUUUAAUAUUUUAUAUGUAUAUAUAUAUAUAUAAAGAGAGAGCGCUUUAUUUUUAAUUAUUUUUCAUAUUUAUAUAAUUAUUUUUUAAAACAAUUUCAAAAAAACAAGUGAAAAUAACUAAAAAAAUAUUCUUUGAGAUAAAGAUCAAAAAACAUAAAAUAGUUUUUUUUAUUAUCAAACAUGUUUUAUGUUUUCUAAUCUGUGUUUUUUUAAUUUGUUUUUUGUUUUCAAAUCUUAAGAUCACUUAAUUUUUUAGGGUUUUUUUUAAGAAAUAAUUAUAUAAAUAUAUAAAAUAAUUAAAAAUAAAAUAUUAGACAUAAAAAUUAUUUUUAAAACAUAUUUAAAAAUAUUAAAAACAAGUUUAAAAUAUUUUAAGUUAUAAAAUAAGCUUUUUUUUUUUUACAAGAAUCAUAAAAUAAUUUUUAAAAACUAUUUUAAAAUAUUAUUUUUGAAAAUAAUUAUCAAACCCCUUAUUUUCUAUUCUCAAAAAAUGUUUUUUAAUUAUCAAAUGUGGUGUCUAUUUAAAUUUAAGAUUUUAAAUUUUAAAUUUAGUUAUUUCCAAGUUAUGAUCUCUUGAUAUUAUUUCAACCUAUUAUUUAUUUAUUUGUUUGUUUUUCACAUAAAUAAACUAAAAUUCAAUUGUAUAACCCAGUAUGAAUCACGUGGGCCCUUAGUGAGGCUGGCUACAACUAAAUCAACGUUCUUUUGAUAAUCGAUUGCCUAUGAAAGAAAUCAUCACGCCUUACACACAAUAGAAUAAAUUAAUAAGAAAGUAAGAAGAUUAGAAAGAAAAGCAUCUUAGAGGAAGGGUUUUUUUUUUUUUAACUUCUUGGUGGUGACACUGGAUGGGCUUUUGAUAAUUGUACGACGAAUUUAAAAUUAAUGUUUUAAAAUACGGUAUUAAAAAAUAUUUUCAAAUUUAUGGUACUUUUUACCACUUUGAAACAUGUUUCUUAAAAAAGCAUAUUUCAUCGUUUUUAUAUUAAUGAUACACAUUCAAAAAAAAAAAAAUUAAAGGUGUCUUUUUGAAAUAUAUUUUUCAUAAUUUUUAUAUCAAUAACACACAUUAAAAAAUUUUGAAUUUAUAUUAAAAGUGUCUCUUCAAAAAACACAUUUUAUAAUUCCAUAAAAUUAAAUUUAUAUUAAAAGUGUCUUUUAAAGAUAUACUUUUUACAAUUUUCAUAUCAGUUAUAUAGUGAAAAAAUUGAAUUUAUAUUAAACAUAUUUCUUUAAAAGACAUUUUCUACAAUUUCAUAAAAUUAAAUUUAUAUUAAAGGUAUCUCUUUCAAUAAUUUUUGUAUCAAUCAUCCAUUGAAAUAAUUGAAUUUAUACUAAAAAUAUCUUUUUAAAAGACACCAUCCAUAAUUUCAUAAAAUUAAAUUUAUAUUGAAAUGUUUCUCUUUAUACUUUUAAUAUAAAUUUAAUUUUUUUAUAGGUGAUUAAUAUAAAAAUUAUGAAAAGUAUUUAUUUAAAAAAUAUUUAUUAUAAAUUCAAUUUUAUAGAAUUAUAAAGACGUCUUCAACGUAAAUUCAAUUAUUUUUUCAAUGUGUAAUUGAUAUGAACAUUAUGAAAAAUGUCCUUCAAAAGACACUUUUAGUAUAAAUUUGAUUUUAUGGUAUUAUUAAAAGUAUAUUUCUUUAAUAUAAAUUCAAUUUUUUAACAUGUAUAACUAAUGAAAAAUUAUAAAAAAAUUAUAUUUUGAAGAGAUAUCUUUAAUAUAAAUUCAAUUUUUUAACAUGUAUAACUAAUGAAAAAUUAUAAAAAAAAUUAUAUUUUGAAGAGAUAUCUUUAAUAUAAAUUCAAUUUUAUAGAAUUAUAAAAGAUAUCUAUUGAAAAAAUACUUUUAACAUGUAUCAUUGAUAUGAAAAAUAUAGAAAAUAUCUUUUCAAAAAACACUUUUUAAAAUGGUAAAAAGUACCAUAAAUUUAUCAAAAGUUUUAUAACUAUCAUAGAAAUUUUUUUCAAAAGUUCCAUUUUUUAAUAAUUAUUUUUUUAAAUAGCCGUACAAGUUAUAUAAAAAAAAACCCGAUACUCCAUAAAAUGUGAUCAAGUAGGAUUUGCAUCAUGCAACCUCAUACAAAUAAUAAAAAGCAUAAAUCACUUGAAACUUGAAAGUGAUUGGAAUUUGGCAGACUCUAGCUAGCUAGGUUGCCAUAAAUGACAUGGGUCAGUGGCCGACACCCACCAAACCCAGCACUUAAUAAUAUAAUUAAUAUACUAUUAUUAUAGAACCAUCGUUUUCAGGAUAGGGAGCAUCAAAUUAACCUCCCCAAGUCAAACUGCACAAUUUGUUUCAUCGAAAUCGAAUAUCUAAUAAUGAAUGAUUAUGGGUGAGAUUGCAAUCCGCCAAUCCUUUGCCUAGCUCUUUGAAAAUCAAUGAUGAUGCUUAGUAUUAAUAUUUUAUUUAUCUUUUUAAUAUGAAAAUAAAAAUAUCAAAAUAAUUUUAAACUUUUUUCGUGGAGAUAAUGCUCCCCAGUUAAGCUGCUUAUAAGGUAUAAAUUAAUAAUAACCUUUUAAUUUUAAUAAAAGCAAUUUGAUACAUAUCACAUCUUAAUUCACUUGAGUAAUAACUAUUUAAGAUUGGAUUUAGGUUAACUUAGAUUAAUUAGAUUGUAUUCAGGUUAAUUAAACCAUAAUCAUAUUAUUAUCAACAAUUUCUCACAACUAUCCUAUUUUUAAUAUGAAUUAUUCCUAGUUCUCAAAUUAUUGUUUAGGUAGUUUUAUUAUCUUAAAAAACAUCUUUUUUUGUCAUUGGUUCUGCAUGGUUAUUAAAUAAGAAAAUUAUAAUUAUCUUAUCAACUAAUUUGAAGACUUUUCACAAAUUCAUACUUUAAAAACCUCUUUCUUUGUCGUGGGUCCCUACAUGGUUAUUAAAUAAUAAAAUUGUAAUAAUUUUAUCAAUUAAUUUGAAGACUUUUCACAAAUUUAUACAAUACUAGUUAUCGGAAAUGUGUCACAAAGAAGAUGCCAAGCUAAAAGCAAAUCAUGAUUCAUUAUUUUUUUUCCCAAUUGGAGCUCGAUGACCCAAUCCGAAUGCAUUAACAUCAAAAUUAGUGUUUUAUACUAUUUUCAAUGAACCUUGUCAACAUGAUCGUGAAAUGAUUUAUGAUUAUUUUCAAUAAACCUUUCAUCGAAACUAUGUGUAGAACUGCAUGAAUAAAUAAGAAAUUUUCAUAGUUACAGAUUUGCAUUAUCUCACUCUAUAUGAUUUUAUAUAGUUUUUUUUUUAAUACUUCUGCAACAUUUCUUUAGAAAAAAUAUUGUAUCAAUAAAUUCAGUAAUUUUCAUCAAUUUCAAUCUUAUAAUUAAAUGAUACUUCUGUCAUGUAUAUCACCAUACGUGUCACACUUCAUUCAAGAUCAGGUUGAUUAGUCAUGUAUACCUGCUCCAUUAAUAAAGUAUUAAGUUUUUAUUUUAUUUUAUUAAAAUAAUAAAUAAAUAAUAUAAUUUUUUUUUAUUAGAGGUAGUUAGGUAUCAUUAAAUGAUUUGUUGUCCUGCCAUGUCCCCAAUUAAUAAUUUUAUACUUUUCAUUUUUUUCAAAGGAUUUAAAAUAUAAAAUAUUAAAGAUAAAAUAUCUGAAAGUACCGCUUCCAUACCCAAUCAAAUUUUAAAUCUAAAUUAUUGACAUGUGAGUGAAAUUUGGACUAUUAAAUAAAAAGUGAAAAAAAAAUAAAAUAAUAAAUAAUUAAAAAUGUUCCUGCAAGGAGAUGUGACUAAGGUUAAAAAAGGAGGGGAUAAGGAGCGGCUAGGAAUAUGUAAACAAAAUUCAAAUAAUUAAAAAACGAAAUGAUAACUUCUCAAUGAAAUUGAAUGUUUCAGUUCUAAAAUCCAAAACAAAAACUAUAGUGAAAGAAAAAUUUGAGAAAAUAUAGCAUGGUCUUCUCUUUAAUGAUUGAUAAAUAUUUAUAUAUAAAUAAAGUUUAUUUUCCAUUAUAAUUUAGAUUAGUCGAGUCUUGUUUUCUACUCAAAUUCAAACUUCACAUUUUGUUAUAAUUUAAUCUAAUAAUAAUUGUUUUCACAAGACAAGCUGAAGUUAUCCAUUAAAAUACAACUUUUAAUUAAUAGUUUAAAAAAUAAGAUAAAUUUGAAAAUAAUUUUAAAAUUUAAUAAGUAUAUAUAUUUUUAAAUAGCAUUUUUUUUUUUAAAUUGCCAAAUCUAUGCUCAGAAAAGAUCCACAAAAGUUGAUCAACAAAAGAUACCGAACAGGAAGUAGAUGAUAAUCCAUUAUUUUCUUCUUUAUUAAAGUUUGACAACCCAAUCUGAAUUCAUUAACGUGAAAAGCAGUGUUGUAUGCUCAUUUUCAAUGAACCUUGUCAACAUGCACGUCAAAAACAAUGAUUUAUUAACUACGUACAUGUAGAAUUCCAUGGGAAAAAAAAAAAUACAAUUAAGGCCUUGGGAGAUGAAUAAAAGCUUAACCUAAAAUUCAAAAUUCUCAAAACCAUGUUUUUUCACACCAAAAUGUUUCAUCCAGCCAACCUAAGACCGAUUGAAUCCUCCCUCUAAAGCACAUUGCCCAAGAUUACAGGCAACGUAGUAAUUACCUAAGCAAGUACGUCAGAAUCAUAGCAAUUUUUACCAAAGUGGGUAUCGGGAAGGAGCUUUGCCUAAUUCAUUCUUCGACAAGGUUAUCUACUUCCUCUCGUCACUGCCUUCUGUUUGAAUCAUUUGUAGUUAGUUUUAUCAAUCCAGCUAGUGUUAUUAUCAGAAAAACAUGGCUCUAACUGCUAAAGUGGAGACUGAAACAGAGAUCAAAGCACCUGCUGAUAAGUUCUUUAAACUCUUCAGGAGCCAAGCACACCACCUUCCUAAUAUCUGCUCCGAUAAAAUACACAAAAUCGAGGUACAUGAAGGUGACUGGGAGACUCAGGGCUCCGUCAAGCAUUGGAGUUACACCAUUGGUAUGACAUGCAACUCAAACUAAGAACCCCAAAACACUAGCGUUAUAUUCUGUUAAUUAAAAUAAUUUUUGAUGUUUUUGUUUCAUUUCAUUGUUGUUUUCUUCUCCUUUCAAUUAUUCUUUUAGAAUAAUAAACGCAUGCGUCUUUGUACAUUUUUUUUCUUGCAAAUAAGUGAUCGGGUCUGGGCCGCUAGUGACUAUGAUGGUUCUUAGUAAUGUACAUGACAUCUAAUAAUAGCUUCAACAUAUUCCAAUUAUGUUUAACCUCACAUUUUGGUUUUAACUAGGUGGGAAUUCUCAGAGUAUUAAAGAGACUGUGGAAUCAAUAGAUGAAGAAAACAGGUCCAUCACGUUCAAGGUUUUGGAUGGGGAGGUGCUGAAAGAAUACAAGAGCUACAAGUUCACCGCACAAGCGAUACCAAAGGGGGAGGGCAGCUUGGUGAUAUGGACCAUCGAAUAUGAGAAGGCAAGUGAGGGUGGCCCAGAUCCCCAUAACUACCUAGAGUUUGCAGUUAAUAUCACCAAAGAUAUCGAAAGUCACCUUCUCAAUGCAUAACACCAAGGUCAUAUCUACCCUUUGCUAGUAUCUCGCUCGUAAAUAAAGUUUGGACCUUGGAAGUCCAUCUACGUACGAUCUCUAUCUUUCAAUAAACGCAAAUUCCAGGU